Molecule: long non-coding RNA, 666 nt
Organism: Bufo bufo (common toad)
Lineage: Eukaryota; Metazoa; Chordata; Amphibia; Anura; Bufonidae
Exons: 3
Source: RefSeq, a predicted model, not a curated record
GAAAAAUUACGUCCCAGUGCGCAAGCGCCGAGGCCAUCUCGUCACUUGGAGAAGGAUAAGAAGCUGCCCCCCAUCCAGAGGGACACACCUGCCACCAAAUCCGUCGCUCACUGGAUUCAGUAAUCUCCGUCUGCUGUCAUGUUCUCCUAUGGAACACGAAGUACCUGAAGUGGAAUGAAGAAGCCCAUGUUUGAGGCCUGCGCCCUGGCUGGAGCAUUGAAGGGGCAUCUGACACGUGACAAGCUGCUCCAGCAUUGUGUACGGUGAUCACCGCGAGGUCAGAGGUCGGCAACCAUAGGCCGUCCACAUGCUGUGAAUUACAUCUCCCAUCAUGCUGGUAAAGUAUUAUGGGAGGUGUAGUCCAAAACAUCUGGAAUACCAAAUGCGUAUGAAUGAAAAGCAUGGUGUGUGACUGGUCAGUAACAAGGGUUGAAGCCUUGACGUGGCGUUACUGCUCACAUGUGUAUCCAUGUGCCAAUUCAACCAAUGUGAGUGACUGUAAUUAAUACUGAUUAGGUAACUAUAAAUACUGUGACAAUGGAGAAUUAAACGACCGUAUCUCCUACACACUGCUUACACCGUGACCGUAUCUCCUACACACUGCUUACACCGUGACCGUAUCUCCUACACACUGCUUACACCGUGACCGUAUCUCCUACACACUGC